RNAcentral lists this long non-coding RNA (446 nucleotides) under Canis lupus familiaris (dog). Its description in RNAcentral is "lncRNA (ENSCAFG00845004406.1)". Lineage: Eukaryota; Metazoa; Chordata; Mammalia; Carnivora; Canidae. The record is from RNAcentral.
CUGUCCGCUCGGGCUCCGGAGGAAGCCACCGCCGCCAGUCUGAGGCAGGUGCCCGACAUGGCGAGUGCUGUGCUGCCGAGCGGGUCCCAGUGUGCGGCGGCGGUGGCGGCGGUGGCGGCGGCGGCGGCGCCUCCCGGGCUCCGACUCCGGCUUCUGCUGUUGCUCCUCUCCGCCGCGGCCCUGAUCCCCACAGGUCCUCGCGUCCCGGGGCUGGCCGGUCGCCCCCACCUCUCCAGCGGGCCCCCUACGUCCCUGCGCCCCGCACCUCCCGAGCCGACCCGCAGCCGCCCCCAGCGUGCUUGCCCCCGAUCUCCAGGACGUCCCCGGACCUGCCCCGCCGUCCCCGCGCUCUGCCUCUCCCACCCCCGGCCCCCGAACCGCGCGCCCCGCGUGCCUCCCUCCGGCCGGAUCGCGGCCCUCGCACCCCCCGGCCCCCGGCCCGCGGC